This 345-nucleotide unclassified non-coding RNA is filed under the name Hevea brasiliensis (rubber tree). The record is from RNAcentral. Lineage: Eukaryota; Viridiplantae; Streptophyta; Magnoliopsida; Malpighiales; Euphorbiaceae.
UGAUUUACUGUUACUAUGUCCUCAAUGAUGUAGUUGGUUUGCAAUAUGAGUGUAAUGAUUUCUAUUGGGUAGUGGAGUUUAGUAUCCAUUUUUUUGUUGAUUUUUCACUGAACUGAACUUGCUCUUUUAUUCCCUGUUUAUUACUGUCUUACGCAUGUACUUUGUAGCAUAUAGCAGUAGGUUAGUGCUUGCUUAUUAGGAGUACUUGAAAGUGAUCAUAUUGGACGUGAAGAGCUGAGUGUUUGCUUGAAAGUCACAUGUCAGAGUAGAUUCUCAACCUCAUCUUCAACUAAAGAUUCUAACUCGUUAAUUUUUUUAUAGGAAAAUAGCACUAUGGGAUCAAUA